Molecule: ribosomal RNA, 253 nt
Filed under: uncultured bacterium
Lineage: Bacteria
Description: partial 16S ribosomal RNA
Rfam family: Bacterial small subunit ribosomal RNA
Source: RNAcentral
UACGUAGGCAGCAAGCGUUGUUCGGAGUUACUGGGCGUAAAGAGUGCGUAGGCGGUGCUCUAAGUUUGGUGUGAAAUCUCCCGGCUUAACUGGGAGGGUGCGCCGAAAACUGGAGUGCUUGAGUAUGGGAGAGGCAAGCGGAAUUCCUGGUGUAGCGGUGAAAUGCGUAGAUAUCAGGAGGAACACCUGUGGUGUAGACAGCUUGCUGGACCAUCACUGACGCUGGGGCACGAAAGCGUGGGUAGCAAACAGG